This 466-nucleotide ribosomal RNA is filed under the name uncultured bacterium. RNAcentral describes it as "bacterial SSU rRNA". It matches the Rfam family "Bacterial small subunit ribosomal RNA", at positions 330 to 793 of the family's 1533-position model. The record is from RNAcentral.
CCCAGACUCCUACGGGAGGCAGCAGUGAGGAAUAUUGGUCAAUGGGCGGGAGCCUGAACCAGCCAAGUCGCGUGAGGGAGUACUGCCCUAUGGGUUGUAAACCUCUUUUGUCGGGGAGCAAAAGCCGGACGUGUCCGGCUGUGAGAGUACCCGAAGAAAAAGCAUCGGCUAACUCCGUGCCAGCAGCCGCGGUAAUACGGAGGAUGCGAGCGUUAUCCGGAUUUAUUGGGUUUAAAGGGUGCGUAGGCGGCCGCUUAAGUCAGCGGUAAAAUUGCGGGGCUCAACCUCGUCGAGCCGUUGAAACUGGGUGCCUUGAGUGGGCGAGAAGUACGCGGAAUGCGUGGUGUAGCGGUGAAAUGCAUAGAUAUCACGCAGAACUCCGAUUGCGAAGGCAGCAUACCGGCGCCCAACUGACGCUGAAGCACGAAAGCGUGGGUAUCGAACAGGAUUAGAUACCCCCGUAUCG